Molecule: ribosomal RNA, 474 nt
Filed under: uncultured bacterium
Lineage: Bacteria
Description: bacterial SSU rRNA
Rfam family: Bacterial small subunit ribosomal RNA
Source: RNAcentral
AUGAACGCUAGCGGCAGGCUUAACACAUGCAAGUCGAGGGGUAUAGUAGCAAUACUAGAGACCGGCGCACGGGUGCGUAACGCGUAUGCAAUCUACCUUUUACAAAGGGAUAGCCCAGAGAAAUUUGGAUUAAUACCUUAUAGAAUAUUUGAGUGGCAUCAUUUAAAUAUUAAAGAUUUAUCGGUAAAAGAUGAGCAUGCGUCCCAUUAGCUAGUUGGUAUGGUAACGGCAUACCAAGGCGACGAUGGGUAGGGGUCCUGAGAGGGAGAUCCCCCACACUGGUACUGAGACACGGACCAGACUCCUACGGGAGGCAGCAGUGAGGAAUAUUGGUCAAUGGGCGCAAGCCUGAACCAGCCAUGCCGCGUGCAGGAAGACGGUCCUAUGGAUUGUAAACUGCUUUUAUACGAGAAGAAACACUACCUUGCGAGGUAGCUUGACGGUAUCGUAAGAAUAAGGAUCGGCUAACUCCGU